This 430-nucleotide ribosomal RNA is filed under the name uncultured archaeon. RNAcentral describes it as "bacterial SSU rRNA". It matches the Rfam family "Archaeal small subunit ribosomal RNA", at positions 474 to 903 of the family's 1478-position model. The record is from RNAcentral.
UACCAGCUCUCCGAGUUGUAGGGACGAUUAUUGGGCUUAAAGCGUCCGUAGCUGGCUUAGCAAGUCUCCUGUUAAAUUCAGCGACCUAAUCGUUGAGCCGCGGGAGAUACUACUAGGCUAGGAGGCGGGAGAGGUCGACGGUACUUUCGGGGUAGGGGUGAAAUCCUAUAAUCCCGGGGAGGACCACCAGUGGCGAAGGCUGUCGACUAGAACGCGCUCGACGGUGAGGGACGAAAGCGUGGGGUAGCGGAACCGGAUUAGAUACCCGGGUAGUCCCAGCUGUAAACUAUGCGGCUAGGUGUUGGGGUGGCUACGGGCCACUUCAGUGCCGCAGGAAAGCCAUUAAGCCCGCCGCCUGGGGAGUACGGCCGCAAGGCUGAAACUUAAAGGAAUUGGCGGGGAGCACCACAAGGCGUGAAGCUUGCGGUUC